CUCAUACUGUCAGAAAAUAAAACCAUCAUUCACAGCAAACUGACACAAGAACAGAAGACCAAACACCAUGUAUUUUCACUCCUAGGCGGGUGAUGAAA
This is a long non-coding RNA of Sapajus apella (tufted capuchin), 98 nucleotides long. RefSeq lists it as uncharacterized. Lineage: Eukaryota; Metazoa; Chordata; Mammalia; Primates; Cebidae. The record is from RefSeq and is a predicted model, not a curated record. The transcript is spliced from 3 exons.